AAGUCGUAACAAGGUCUCCGUAGGUGAACCUGCGGAGGGAUCAUUAAGUAUCGCCAGCUGCCAAAGCAAACAGCGAGAGCUGGAUUGUUGUUUGGGAGCUAGUAUAACAUAUGUGUUUAGGGGGGUAAUCAUCUCCCUAAUAUUUCAUACUUCACAAAGCCCUAAUACGCUUUGGCCAAACAAACAAACAAACUUACAGGAACGACAUACAACACACCCCAUUGGAUACCUUGGUUCCCAC
RNAcentral lists this unclassified non-coding RNA (241 nucleotides) under fungal sp. RNAcentral's name for it is "partial internal transcribed spacer region". The stretch from base 1 to 46 matches the Rfam family "Eukaryotic small subunit ribosomal RNA", at positions 1786 to 1831 of the family's 1831-position model. Lineage: Eukaryota; Fungi. The record is from RNAcentral.